UACGUAGGGUGCAAGCGUUAAUCGGAAUUACUGGGCGUAAAGGGCUCGUAGGCGGCCAACUAAGUCAGACGUGAAAUCCCUCGGCUUAACCGGGGAACUGCGUCUGAUACUGGAUGGCUUGAAUUCGGGAGAGGGAUGCAGAAUUCCAGGUGUAGCGGUGAAAUGCGUAGAUAUCUGGAGGAAUACCGGUGGCGAAGGCGGCAUCCUGGACCGAGAUUGACACUGAUGAGCGAAAGCCAGGGGAGCAAACGGG
RNAcentral lists this ribosomal RNA (253 nucleotides) under uncultured bacterium. Its description in RNAcentral is "partial 16S ribosomal RNA". It matches the Rfam family "Bacterial small subunit ribosomal RNA", at positions 524 to 776 of the family's 1533-position model. The record is from RNAcentral.